This 468-nucleotide ribosomal RNA is filed under the name uncultured bacterium. Its description in RNAcentral is "partial 16S ribosomal RNA". It matches the Rfam family "Bacterial small subunit ribosomal RNA", at positions 28 to 507 of the family's 1533-position model. The record is from RNAcentral.
GAUGAACGCUGGCGGCGUGCUUAACACAUGCAAGUCGAACGGAAAGUCUCUGCUAUUGUGGUUUGCUCGAGUGCCGAACGGGUGAGUAACACGUGAGUAACCUGCCCGUGACUUAAUGAUAACUCUACGAAACGCGUGCUAAUACCGGAUAUCAGCUUUUGAUCCACUGUGGCGUUUGGCAAUUUCCGGCGGUUAGGGAUGGUCUCGCGGCUUCUCAGCUUGUUUGUGGGGUAGUGGCUUACCAAGGCUUUGACGGGUAGCCGGCCUGAGAGGGUGACCGGCCACCGUGCGACUGUGGUACGGCCCAGACUCGUACGGGAGGCAGCGGUGGCGAAUAUUGCACAAUGGGCGGCAGCCUGGUGCAGCAACGCCGCGUGCGGGAUGACCGCCUUCGGGUUGUAACCCGCGUUCGCCUGUGACGACGCGUGAGUGACGGUAAUGGGUAAAGAAGCACCGGCUAACUACGUG